AGAGUUUGAUCCUGGCUCAGAAUCAACGCUGGCGGCGCGCUUAACACAUGCAAGUCGCACGAGAAAGUGGAGCAAUCCAUGAGUACAGUGGCGUACGGGUGAGUAACACGUGGAUCAUCUGCCCUUUAGUGGGGAAUAACCCUGGGAAACCGGGGCUAAUACCGCAUAAUCCUGAGAAGGGAAAGCAGCAAUGCGCUGAAGGAGGAGUCCGCGGCCGAUUAGCUAGUUGGUAGGGUAACGGCCUACCAAGGCAAUGAUCGGUAGCCGGCCUGAGAGGGCACACGGCCACACUGGCACUGAAACACGGGCCAGACUCCUACGGGAGGCAGCAGUGGGGAAUCUUGCACAAUGGAGGAAACUCUGAUGCAGCGACGCCGCGUGAGCGAUGAAGCCCUUCGGGGUGUAAAGCUCUUUCGACGGGAACGAUAAUGACGGUACCCGGAGAAGAAGCUGCGGCUAACUACGUGCCAGCAGCCGCGGUAAUACGUAGGCAGCAAGCGUUGUUCGGAAUUACUGGGCGUAAAGAGUGUGUAGGCGGUUCUCUAAGUUCGGUGUGAAAUCUCCCGGCUCAACUGGGAGGGUGCGCCGGAAACUGGAGGGCUUGAGUAUGGGAGAGGAAGGCGGAAUUCCUGGUGUAGCGGUGAAAUGCGUAGAUAUCAGGAGGAACACCUGCGGUGUAGACAGCUUUCUGGACCAUCACUGACGCUGAGACACGAAAGCGUGGGUAGCAAACAGGAUUAGAUACCCCCGUAGUCC
Molecule: ribosomal RNA, 756 nt
Filed under: uncultured bacterium
Lineage: Bacteria
Description: bacterial SSU rRNA
Rfam family: Bacterial small subunit ribosomal RNA
Source: RNAcentral